UACGUAGGGCGCAAGCGUUAUCCGGAAUUAUUGGGCGUAAAGAGCUCGUAGGCGGUUUGUCGCGUUGUUCGUGAAAACUCACGGCUUAACUGUGAGCGUGCGGGCGAUACGGGCAGACUGGAGUACUGCAGGGGAGACUGGAAUUCCUGGUGUAGCGGUGGAAUGCGCAGAUAUCAGGAGGAACACCGGUGGCGAAGGCGGGUCUCUGGGCAGUAACUGACGCUGAGGAGCGAAAGCGUGGGGAGCAAACAGG
Molecule: ribosomal RNA, 253 nt
Filed under: uncultured bacterium
Lineage: Bacteria
Description: partial 16S ribosomal RNA
Rfam family: Bacterial small subunit ribosomal RNA
Source: RNAcentral